Pelecanus crispus (Dalmatian pelican) is the source of this 242-nucleotide non-coding RNA. Lineage: Eukaryota; Metazoa; Chordata; Aves; Pelecaniformes; Pelecanidae. The record is from RefSeq and is a predicted model, not a curated record.
CUGGCUCCCUGUGGCUCUACAGACAGGCAGACCUGUUUGAAGACUGUUGUGCUGUUAGUAGAUCACAAAAAAAAUGUGGUGGUUUUCAGAUCAGAUGGCAGUGUGUUACUGAAUGAGCUGACAGUGAAUGUGCCUUAUGUGUCAGCCAGCUUCUCGGUAUUCAAGCCAUCUUCCUACUACCUUGUUGUACAAACUUCUUUUGGGCUUCAGCUGCAGAUCCAGUUGUUUCCAGUCAUGCAGCU